Molecule: long non-coding RNA, 568 nt
Organism: Pezoporus occidentalis (night parrot)
Lineage: Eukaryota; Metazoa; Chordata; Aves; Psittaciformes; Psittacidae
Exons: 4
Source: RefSeq, a predicted model, not a curated record
GAGCUAAUUUCAUUACCAGGAGGCAUGCUGGUUUGUGCUGCAGUGUAAAGCAGACUGCUGGAGUCUAGCUCUUCCUGCUUUGCUUAAACUGCUCCUGCUUACAGCAUCCCACUGGGAUCUCCAGAGCCCACUUCACAGAAAGUGCAAGCAAGCAAAGGCAGGAACGGACUGCCAAUGGGAAUCUGGACUGAGGUGGCAAGAGAGCAACUACUCCUUACAUAUCACACGAGAAAUGCCUUUGUCAACAUGAAUCAACCCUGCUGACAGCUUUGGGAGGAGGGGAAAGGGGCAGCACAUUACAUCCUGUGAUCCCCCAGAUUCUCUGCUGUCUGAUUUGGGUACUCAAGGAAGAUUGUGCUGCAUUAGAAGCUGGAAGCACCGAGUCCAGAGCAGCUCUCCUGAAGGCCAGUACUGCUUCUUGCCUUCUGCCCAAUUAAUCCAGCAAUCAGAUCUAGGAAUCUUCAUUUCCCCACCUGGCAUCUUACGCUGGCAAGACAAGCUGAAACCCUUUGAAAUUCAGAAUGUCGAGAAGUGAAUGCGAGGCAGCCUGCUCUGUUUUCAUUUCCCA